AACGAACGCUGGCGGCAUGCCUAACACAUGCAAGUCGAACGAGACCUUCGGGGCUAGUGUCGCAGGGGUGAGUAACGCGCGGGAACCUGCCCUUAGGAUCGGAAUAACUCCCCGAAGGGGGUGCUAAUACCGAAUAAUGUCUUCGGCCCAAACAUUUAUCGACCUUGGAUGGGCACGCGUUGGAUUAGCUAGUUGGUAGGGUAAAAGUCUACCAAGGCGACGAUCCAUAGCUGGUCAGUGAGCAUGGUCAGCGACUCUGGCGCUGUGACCCGGCCCAGACUCCUACGGGAGGCAGCAGUGGGGGAUAUUGCACAGUCGGCGGAAUGCUGAUCCAGCUAGGCCGCGUGAGCGAUGAAGGUCUUAGGGUUGUAAAGCGCUUUUACCCGGGAUGAUAAUGACGGUACCGGGUGAAUAAGCUCCGGCUAACUCCGUG
RNAcentral lists this ribosomal RNA (433 nucleotides) under uncultured bacterium. RNAcentral's name for it is "partial 16S ribosomal RNA". It matches the Rfam family "Bacterial small subunit ribosomal RNA", at positions 29 to 507 of the family's 1533-position model. The record is from RNAcentral.